This 280-nucleotide ribosomal RNA is filed under the name uncultured Staphylococcus sp. RNAcentral's name for it is "partial 16S ribosomal RNA". It matches the Rfam family "Bacterial small subunit ribosomal RNA", at positions 81 to 354 of the family's 1533-position model. The record is from RNAcentral. Lineage: Bacteria; Bacillati; Bacillota; Bacilli; Caryophanales; Staphylococcaceae.
CUCCUUUGACGUUAGCGGCGGACGGGUGAGUAACACGUGGGUAACCUACCUAUAAGACUGGGAUAACUUCGGGAAACCGGAGCUAAUACCGGAUAAUAUUUCGAACCGCAUGGUUCGAUAGUGAAAGGUGGUUUUGCUAUCACUUAUAGAUGGACCCGCGCCGUAUUAGCUAGUUGGUAAGGUAACGGCUUACCAAGGCGACGAUACGUAGCCGACCUGAGAGGGUGAUGGCCACACUGGAACUGAGACACGGUCCAGACUCCUACGGGAGGCAGCAGAC